AUUUUUGUAUGAUUUUUAUUUCUGGAAAUCAAUCUGAAAUCUACAACAGUCCAUUUCCGAAAGUCGGGCUGGACCUUUACUUUUAUGUGCAUUCGGGAUUUACACAAAUUGUAACCCGAAUAAUUCAGUCGUAUUAUUCAGCUGAUGUACGAAUGCUACAUUUCUCGUGUGGGAGAAAAUCGGACAUGGAAAGGGCUUGAAUUAUUCGAGUUACUCAAAUUGAAACUCGGGAAUAUAUUUCUAGCUGUUCGGAAUUCGCGGAAACAAAUGAUUGUUUUUCGGCAUUACGGUAUUGAAUCAAUAGAGAUACCAAUUAUUUCUUUUAACAAAUUCGAAUACCAGUCAGUUUAUAGGACUUCAGUUUGAAAUAGGGGCGGCAAUCCAUUCAUUUUAUCCAAUCAAUUGGAAGGGGGGGGUCAACAUUGAUAGUCAAAAAGCCUUGAAAUAUUCGAUAAAAAAACGUUGAAUGUAAAUUAUAUGAACUCCAAAGUCUCAUAUUAUAAGACUAGUAAACCACAGGCUUCUCAAUUCUUGUAUGAUCAUGAACUAGGUGAAAACCUAGAGCUGACCGAGUGCGAGAUCCUCAUGGAUAAUCAUCGAGGUCGUUAAACACCCCUUGCAGUAAACUUUGGUUAAAUUUAAAAAAAAAAAUCGAAAUGUAAUAGUCUGAACACAUUUCACCUCUCAUUCCACUAAAUAUUAAAUUGCAGUUACAAGUAUCACAAAACUUCCCUGACCUCUUUUCUUUAACCAUAAUAGAGGGAGGAGGGAAGGAGGGAUCCAGAUCCCGAAAUCCCGGGCUUAAAAACACGAAAUCCGGCGAGGUCCCGAAUUAAAAAAAAAAUUAAAUCCCGACUACCCGAAAUUCGGAAAUAGAAUUCCCGGAUCCCGAAAGGGUCAAUCCCGAAAUCCCGAGCUUAAAAACACCCGAUCCCGGAGUUCCGAUAAAGGUCCUACCCCCUCCCCCCGUAAUUCUAUAUUCUAUUCAUUCAUAAUCUUGAAUUGAGACUUGAUACUUCAAAAUUACAUUCUCUGAAUGAUGCACACAGGCAC
This 1053-nucleotide long non-coding RNA is filed under the name Mytilus galloprovincialis (Mediterranean mussel). The record is from RNAcentral. Lineage: Eukaryota; Metazoa; Mollusca; Bivalvia; Mytilida; Mytilidae.